CCUACGGGUGGCUGCAGUAGGGAAUUUUCGGCAAUGGGGGGAACCCUGACCGAGCAACGCCGCGUGAAGGAAGAAGGCUUUCGGGUUGUAAACUUCUUUUAAGGGGGAAGAGCAGAAGACGGUACCCCUUGAAUAAGCCACGGCUAACUACGUGCCAGCAGCCGCGGUAAUACGUAGGUGGCAAGCGUUGUCCGGAUUUACUGGGUGUAAAGGGCGUGCAGCCGGAGAGACAAGUCAGAUGUGAAAUCCACGGGCUCAACCCGUGAACUGCAUUUGAAACUGUUUCCCUUGAGUGUCGGAGAGGUAAUCGGAAUUCCUUGUGUAGCGGUGAAAGGCGUAGAUAUAAGGAAGAACACCAGUGGCGAAGGCGGAUUACUGGACGAUAACUGACGGUGAGGCGCGAAAGCGUGGGGAGCAAACAGGAUUAGAUACCCGGGUAGUC
RNAcentral lists this ribosomal RNA (442 nucleotides) under uncultured bacterium. RNAcentral describes it as "partial 16S ribosomal RNA". It matches the Rfam family "Bacterial small subunit ribosomal RNA", at positions 338 to 795 of the family's 1533-position model. The record is from RNAcentral.